Cyprinus carpio carpio is the source of this 1202-nucleotide long non-coding RNA. The record is from Ensembl. NCBI's taxonomy places the organism in Eukaryota, Metazoa, Chordata, Actinopteri, Cypriniformes, Cyprinidae.
ACUGAGACUUGCUUCUGAGAGACUGUCAUCUUCCGGUCCCAGCACUUGUCACUUUAAGAGUCUUUGUUGUAACGUGUUGGGUGGUGUAAACACUAAAGAAGGUAUGCUGUGUGCUAACUUCUUUCGAGUAUGGUAACUCUGUGUGAAUAGUUGCCAUUAAUAGUUGGAGUGUUACAGUAACCCCUAGUUGUACACAGUUGUGCUAUGUUGGCCUGUGUGGCCAGAUUCACUGUUAAGAUUGUUUUUCAACUUUGUUCUGUUGUUAUUGUGAGAUUAUUUGUAGGGAGGAGGAUGUUCUUUAAUUUGAGAAUCUGUUUUCUUCUGUGUUUGAUUAGAGAGGGAGUAAGGGAAGCAUUUGUCUUUUUGUUUCAUUUCUUUUAAUGCUAGGUAAGGCAGUUUAACAAAUCCUCAGUUAGAGUUCCUUUUGUUUGUUGUUUUGGCUUUUUCCCCUCCUGAAGUCUUAUGUUUGUGUUCCACUGAUUAACUUAAAAUAAACAUUGUAUGUCUUUUCAUAUUUAAAACUGGUGUGGCGAUUUGUGUUUGUCCUGGGACCUGGAGACGGGAGUUCUCUCACUCUCUCCCCGCAAUUUUUGUUACGCUUCUUCCCGGCCCCUAGAUUAAAAAUGGGGAACGUAACAAAAGCAACAUGGUUGUUUCCAGGUUUGGGAAGAAAGACUUCGUUGUACCUAAAGGCAUGGGCUGUGUGGUUGCGACAAUGGUUUUAUUUCUUGACGGAUUCCAUGUCCCGUGGUUUGGACCAAUACUGUGAUGGAGCAUAUUGUUGGGUUCAUCCCGGAACUACUUUGGUGCGUUCAGCACAACAGCACGUCUAUCAUCUGAGAAAAGUAAACGGUGAUGCCUUGUUGAUCAUUCCCAUUGGGACAAACGAUGUGGCUAUUGGAGUUUUAGCGGAAACAGUCGUUAAACGAAUGGCCUUGCUGGUGGAUCGCCUUCGUCACUCUUUUAAAUACAAACUGUAUUGUGCUAUUUGUUCUGUUUUGCCUUGUUAUGUUGAUGACAACCAAACUAAACAUAUUGUGAAGCGGUGCAAUACAUUGUUGAAAAGAUGGUCUAGUGAGAUGGACAAUGUUGUUUUUUUGCGAACGUGAAGAGCAUAUGUGUCUGGAGGAUGUAUAUGUUCUGUCCAGGGCCGGAGUGGGACUCAUUUUCAGCCCUGGAGUUUCAUGCCUUGGACCGGCCCG